This 653-nucleotide ribosomal RNA is filed under the name uncultured bacterium. RNAcentral's name for it is "bacterial SSU rRNA". It matches the Rfam family "Bacterial small subunit ribosomal RNA", at positions 653 to 1315 of the family's 1533-position model. The record is from RNAcentral.
CAACGUUGGCGGAAUUCGUCGUGUAGCGGUGAAAUGCUUAGAUAUGACGAAGAACUCCGAUUGCGAAGGCAGCUGACGGGAGCGCAACUGACGCUGAAGCUCGAAGGUGCGGGUAUCGAACAGGAUUAGAUACCCUGGUAGUCCGCACGGUAAACGAUGGAUGCCCGCUGUGUGCCGCUGGGGUACGUGGCCAAGCGAAAGCGUUAAGCAUCCAACCUGGGGAGUACGCCGGCAACGGUGAAACUCAAAGGAAUUGACGGGCGCCCGCACAAGCGGAGGAACAUGUGGUUUAAUUCGAUGAUACGCGAGGAACCUUACCCGGGCUUGAACUGCAGAGGAAGCACUUAGAGAUAUGUGCGCCCUUAUAUCUCUCUGCGGACGUGCUGCAUGGUUGUCGCCAGCUCGUGUCGUGAGGUGUCUUCUUAACUAAAACAACGUGCGCCACUCCUCGUCGUGGCUGCCGUCUGAUGAUGGGGGCUACUCGGGGACGGCUGCCGCCAUGUGUGGGAGGAUGGGGAUGACGUCGUCUCAUCAUCCCCGGUGACACAGGGGUACUACACAUGUUAUACUGUGGAGUACUACAGAGAGUCAUAGCGUGUAGAAUCCCACACCUAAAAACUCCCCUCAGUGUGACACUGGCGUCUGCACCUUAA